GUAGGUGGCAAGCGUUGUCCGGAAUUAUUGGGCGCAAAGCGCGCGCAGGCGGUCCUUUAAGUCUGGUGUGAAAGCCCACGGCUCAACCGUGGAGGGUCAUUGGAAACUGGGGGACUUGAGUACAGAAGAGGAAAGCGGAAUUCCAAGUGUAGCGGUGAAAUGCGUAGAGAUUUGGAGGAACACCAGUGGCGAAGGCGGCUUUCUGGUCUGUAACUGACGCUGAGGCGCGAAAGCGUGGGGAGCAAACAGGGAUUAGAUACCCUGGUAGUCCACGCCGUAAACGAUGAGUGCUAAGUGUUAGGGGGUUUCCCGCCCCUUAGUGCUGCGGCUAACGCAUUAAGCACUCCGCCUGGGGGAGUACGGCCCGCAAGGCUG
RNAcentral lists this ribosomal RNA (375 nucleotides) under uncultured organism. Its description in RNAcentral is "partial 16S ribosomal RNA". It matches the Rfam family "Bacterial small subunit ribosomal RNA", at positions 527 to 896 of the family's 1533-position model. The record is from RNAcentral.